Molecule: long non-coding RNA, 437 nt
Organism: Marmota flaviventris (yellow-bellied marmot)
Lineage: Eukaryota; Metazoa; Chordata; Mammalia; Rodentia; Sciuridae
Source: RefSeq, a predicted model, not a curated record
UCUCCAUCAACAUGGUGUCCUUCCCUGUUAAAUUCAGCAUUUUUGACAAAGAUCCUCUGCAGACAAGGGCUGAAAAUAAAGCUGAAGAUAAAGAUGAAGUCUCAGCAAUAAACAGACAUCUGCUAGAAGCUUCUAAAGAAAUACCACAUAAACAGCCUGCAGCCCUCUCCAGGCAGCAUCCAGCUGCCAGGGGGAGGAGGAGGGACCCAGAGGACCUGUCCACAAGGGGGCUGGUUAGUGACUUCAUCCUUCACCCAAACCACUGAAGACCAGACCAGACUGUCAGCAAGAGCGCCAGCACGCGAAGCACACCCACAGGUCCUAUGGCUUACAAAUGAAAGCUCUUUCCGCUUUAAGAACCCAGGAUCCAGAAUAAACAAUGUGGAAGGAGACACACGUUUACUGUGGUUUCAACACGCCUCUUCCCUAUCCAGUAA